AUGGCUUCUUGAGAAAAUAAGAAGUCUGGCCUGCUCACUGAGGGUUAAAGAGCUGCAGUAUUAUGACUGUACAAAGGUAGCACAAUCAUUAGUCUUUUAAUUGGGGGCUGGAAUGAAGGGUUUUACGGGGGUUUUCUGUCUUUUAGGCUAUGAGAGGUGAAAUUAUUUUUUCUGUAAAAAAGCAGAAAUGAGGGCAAGGGACAAGAAGACCCUUUCAAACUUUAUUCGGCGGGAGGUGUUUGUGUAAAGGAUAUAAAUAACAUUUUUUGUUGGGUUUCGCUGGGGCGGCGGGUGUAAAAUGAUCACCACAUAAAAAUAAAUGGGCUUAUCAGCUAGGGGUGAGAGCCUGGGGGAAGGCUGAAGGAAAAAGUUACUGGAGGGAUAACAGCGUUAUAGGACCUGAGAGUUCAUAUUGACGGUUUGGUUUGCGA
This 431-nucleotide ribosomal RNA is filed under the name Pteridoiulus aspidiorum. Its description in RNAcentral is "partial small subunit ribosomal RNA". It matches the Rfam family "Bacterial large subunit ribosomal RNA", at positions 1816 to 2523 of the family's 2925-position model. The record is from RNAcentral. Lineage: Eukaryota; Metazoa; Arthropoda; Diplopoda; Julida; Julidae.